Molecule: long non-coding RNA, 1234 nt
Organism: Lemur catta (Ring-tailed lemur)
Lineage: Eukaryota; Metazoa; Chordata; Mammalia; Primates; Lemuridae
Exons: 3
Source: RefSeq, a predicted model, not a curated record
UCCCCCCGCAAGGGGUGUGUUGAACCAUGACAAGCUGGCCUGCUCAGCUUGGGGGUAGCGCUCCGUGCGUCCCCCUCCCCGAACGAUCUUGGCACAGUGCAAAGCCCUGGAAAGAAACGUGACUGCUGGGGGCUGGGGAGAGCCCUCGGCCCUGGAGAGCAGGGAGGUGCGGGGGCGUGGCAGCCUCAGGGCCAAACAAGUGGCAGGAGACCCCCUGCUUCUGACUGGGGAAGGUUCCUGCCCCUUUCUCAGCCUCGAUUUUCUCAUCUGUUAAAUGGGCGUAACUGUGUCUACUUCACCAGGUGGUUGUGGCGGUUCAAUGAACCAGCCCUGUUGGUAAGCAGGGGUCUUCCCUGCUCUCUCCACCAGAAAUGGCAAGGACACCCGGCUGCAGGUGACUCUUUUGAGCCCCCGAGGAUCCCAGAGCAUCACUAUCUCCUCCAGCCUCUCGCUGGGAAGCGGAAGGGACUGUCUCAGGUUCCUUGUCUGCAGGCCACGCUCUCCCCUUCCCACCCCUGCCCGGCGCAGCAAGAAGGGGCGGAAGGACUGGCCGCCAACGGAAGGAGAUUUGAUCGCUGAUAUUGUUUGCAAUUACUGACCUCUGCGUUUAAUGAGGAAGUGGUGUCAGCAAAGGACGGGAAGCUUCACUCCUGGCCACCCCCCAGGACCCGUGUCCCUCCCAGCCCGAGUAGGACGAGCACAGAGUACGUAACCACAUUGUGUACCUCAUGCGGGGGAGGUCCUGGAGAAAUUUCUGGAAAGAGAAAACAACUUUUACUGCACGUAAUAAAAAUGACUCGGGUCAUAAGUAACCCUGAUAGUUGGCUAUAGCGAGUGUAGACUCCAUUCCACGCUCCCAGCCCGCCCUUCCCAUCUGUCUCCUUGCCGAAUCCUUCUUCGGGGAGAUUCUUUGUACCCUCAUUUCACAGAUGAGGAAAUCGAGGCCAAAGAAGUGAAGGGACACCUCAGGUGACACCGUAAGUGACAGAGCCCGGAUGCAAACCAGCUCUGUCUGAAGCUGAGGUCACUCUGUUUUGUCACUUAGGGGUUUGAGCAGUGCCAACACACCGCAUCAACAGAGAAUUAUCACCCUCUCAAACUGGGAAACUGACACCUCUAAAAGCAAAUAUAUUUCCAAACUUGGGGUUAAUGAUAAAGCUGGAAAAACGUAAAAGACUCACUGUUCCGCUCCUUCCUUAUCAAUAUGUGACUUAGAUUUGGAUGCCAAGUCAAA